This 433-nucleotide ribosomal RNA is filed under the name uncultured bacterium. RNAcentral's name for it is "partial 16S ribosomal RNA". It matches the Rfam family "Bacterial small subunit ribosomal RNA", at positions 29 to 507 of the family's 1533-position model. The record is from RNAcentral.
GCGAACGCUGGCGGCAGGCCUAACACAUGCAAGUCGAACGAACCUUUCGGGGUUAGUGGCGGACGGGUGAGUAACACGUGGGAACGUGCCUUUAGGUUCGGAAUAACUCAGGGAAACUUGUGCUAAUACCGAAUGUGCCCUUCGGGGGAAAGAUUAAUCGCCUUUAGAGCGGCCCGCGUCUGAUUAGCUAGUUGGUUGAGGUAAUGGCUCACCAAGGCGACGAUCAGUAGCUGGUCUGAGAGGAUGAUCAGCCACAUUGGGACUGAGACACGGCCCAAACUCCUACGGGAGGCAGCAGUGGGGAAUCUUGCGCAAUGGGCGAAAGCCUGACGCAGCCAUGCCGCGUGAAUGAUGAAGGUCUUAGGAUUGUAAAAUUCUUUCACCGGGGACGAUAAUGACGGUACCCGGAGAAGAAGCCCCGGCUAACUUCGUA